UACGUAGGUGGCAAGCGUUGUCCGGAUUUAUUGGGCGUAAAGCGAGUGCAGGCGGUUCAAUAAGUCUGAUGUGAAAGCCUUCGGCUCAACCGGAGAAUUGCAUCAGAAACUGUUGAACUUGAGUGCAGAAGAGGAGAGUGGAACUCCAUGUGUAGCGGUGGAAUGCGUAGAUAUAUGGAAGAACACCAGUGGCGAAGGCGGCUCUCUGGUCUGCAACUGACGCUGAGGCUCGAAAGCCAUGGGUAGCGAACAGG
Molecule: ribosomal RNA, 254 nt
Filed under: uncultured bacterium
Lineage: Bacteria
Description: partial 16S ribosomal RNA
Rfam family: Bacterial small subunit ribosomal RNA
Source: RNAcentral